UAUAUAUAUUCUGAAUUUUAAUAAAUUCUAAGAAAGCUCUAUAUCCACACACACACACACCACACACAUAAAAAGGCGGAAACAGAGAUGGAGAAAUAAAUUACCUGCCACUGGGUUUGGCUGUGUUCUUGAAGAUAAUUUGGGCAGAAUUUCUAGCUUCCCAUUCACUUGUAAUCUCCGAUUCUGCCUUUUCCAAAAUAAUUGUCAGUCUUUGAAAUUGCUGACGAACCUGAAGACUUGAUGUAGCUCACCAGCCUCUUCAUACUCCAAGUUGAUGCUGUCGUCUCCAUGCUCAGCUUCCUCAGCUUCUCCAUGUCAAUUUCUCUCGACCUAAACCUCUUCGACUUGUAGACAUUCCUCACUUCCUUCCACUUCCCUCCUCCCAGUUGGCCGGCAAUGACUUAGAUCCACUCAAGUUAGAGUUAGGUUUUCUCUUUUUUUUUUUUAAUGUUUUUUUUCUUCAUCAUUCGCCAUUAAUCCCUCCAUUUUUGGUGGUCCUGAUAGUGUUUCCAAAAUGUAGUGAUGGAACACACUCUCCUUCAUUCUAUUAAAGUAUGUGGUAACAUGAAAAGAUGAGGCCAACACUUUGACUAACACAAUCUUGAUUAGCCAAAUUGUUGCACCAAGUGACACGGCCACCAAUGCUCGAAACACCUUCUCAAGCAUCUUGUUUUUCUUGUGAAGUUUCUCAUUGAAGAUGCAAGUCCAUGCAAGAAGCACAAGACCCAACCACAUACAAUUUCUGAUGCUGUUCGAUUAAACAAACUAGAGUACCUUUUCUUGAAGCAUGAAAUUGCGUUCGAUUAAGAAGACGGCAAAACUCGUCACCCAACCUGAAACUAAGCGGCUACAAAAGGUUUCCAUUACCAUUUCCAAAUCUCAAGCCCCCAUUUCCGUUCAAUCUUGAUAGAUUUUAUUGUCAGUGAACAUACCAAACAAGUCAUAACGAUGAAAAAUAAUACCAAUUCCGCAAAAAGUCUCCGAUUGGACUUCCUAUUUCCUUUCUCUGCUUCGAUUCAGUUCCCACAUCCUCAUCUUCAGAAUCAUCCUUAAGCUCUUUAUCCCACUCAUUGUCGUCAACAUGUGUUGAAUAAAUAUUGCUGUUGUCGUUGUCAUCAAGAAAGGGUUCGAUUUCGUUGGAUUCAGGGAUUGUUUUACUGUGUGCAGUGAGUGGAUACUUGAGCUCUAGUAAUCUUGAUUUGGGUUUUGAGAAGCUGAGACGGUGUGGGGUUUGUUUCCUUGUAGCUGGGAUUUGAUGAAGAUCAGGAACUGAGAAGCUGAGAGAAUUUUUCUCCAAUGGAAGAAUUUUGUUAGGUUCCCUAUUGAGCUCAGUUUGCAUCGACGGGUUGUUAGCGUUUUGCUGGUCUAUAGAGAGAACUACAUGAUCAGGUCCUGCCAUUUCCAUCUCUCUGCAACUCUGUUCACUUACUAGCUGGUUUGCGCGUUUUCUUGCGUGAUCACUACUUAAAAAAAAUAAAAAUAAAUAAAUAAAUAGUGACAGAAAUUUUAUGACUUGUAUCAUUGUGUCACAAACCUAUUUUGACUUCAUUAGAGAUUCGUGACAUAAAUUCAUAUGUCAUGAAUCCAUAACUUAUGACUUAACAAUAUAAACAUAUAAUAGAUAUAAGUCAUGCUUAAGUUAUGUGGAUUUAUAAGAUUUCAAAACAAUGCUAUUUAAAUUAGCAGUAGUAUUUUUUAUUAAAUAACUAAGUUAUUUUAUUUUAAAAAUUACUAAAAAAGGGUUUUGUUGAAAUAAAAUAACACUAGUUUUUGGGAGGUUUUUAAUUAAAUACCCUUUAAUAGUUAAAAAUUAUUUAAACACCCUCCAUUUUUCAGAUUACAUUGAUACCCUAAAAAAUGCGAGUAAGUAUAUAAUGCACUUCGUGAAGAUAUCAAAUGAAUUACACACUCUCUCUUUAUACACUAGAUCAUCCUUCAAAGCCUCUCAAACAAAUAAAACUACUUUUUCACAUUUUUAACACCCCCAUACUUUUUUCGUUGAAAGAAAGGGCAUUACUGAUUAAACAAACUAAGAAGGUAUGUUAAUGUUAUUGGGUCUUUAAGUUUUAUUUAUAUUUUUUAAUAAAAAUGCGUAUAUGGCUAUUUUUUCUACAUUAUAUAAUGUUAUAUUUUUUUACUAAUUUUCCUACAUCUUGUCAAAUUGCAUACAUUCUAUGUUGAUCAAUUACUUUUUCUUUAGCAUGAUGUACAUGAUGAACAUGUCUUGAAGGCGAAAAUGUUAUGAGUUACACGUAAUGUUGUGUAUUGAUUCCGAAGUCUUGUAAUACAUUAAAUGUGGUGGCACGAUGAUGGUAGGUGACCUACGCAACGACGUGAUUUUGUGUACGUAGAUCAUGUAAAUCAUGUAGGUUGUAUAAUUAUUUAUAUAUAAAAUUUGGUAUUAGUAGUUUUAUUAUACUAAUUGACAUGGUUUUUGUACAUGUACCUAUGAAGAAUGGAUAGAACAAAUGACGAGUAUAAAUUUAAAGUGUUAAAGCUAGAGGAAUAAUGGUAUAAAAGUCAUGUAAUUUUAAAGAUAGUGUAUCACACGAAAACUGUGUACAACCUUCGGUCGUGCAUUAUACAACCAAAUGAAUCAACAUAAAUAAUCGGCGCAUUAAAUUUUCAUCCUUUCUAUGAAAAGAAAAUUUGUUGAAAAUUUUAUUUUCAUGAAUCUCCCUUUUUUUAUUUUGGAUCCAAAGGUUUGGCUUUUCUUACCAUAACCCCUAUCUGGCCCAAGUUCUGAUUUUAGAAUCAUUGAUCCUACAAAGACUCCCCAUUCCGGCGCCUACUAGUACGUGAAAUUAUCAUCUUCUUCUUUUUAUUAAUUUCAUCAUUACUAUAUGCUUAUUGUUUUAAAAUUAAAGCUAGCAUUUUUCAGAAUUAAUUAAUUAAAUUGUAUUAAUGAAAUUAAUCUUUCUUUCUCUUUUCUCUUUCAAUGCAAACAACCAGUCUUGCUUCAAGUACCAAAUGGCUACAAUGGAACCAAAUUUAAUUAAAUUUAUUUCAUCUCCCACGUGAUCUUUCUUUCUUCUUUCAUCUUUUAAAUUACUUAUUUCGGUAAUUUCUGAAUUAAUUGAUCUCUCGUAUAUAUUUUCUGAGACGGGAAGAUGACAGUUCGAUUAUGUAAAGUACUUCGUUAACAAGCUGAAACUUGAUAGCCAAUCAGAGGUAUCAAUAGCUCCUUACUGCGGCUGCCAAUGCCCUUUUAUGAAUGUCCUGUGCUGUGCUGCAUCACUCUAGUUAACAUGGCUCCCCAUAAAAAAAAGCCACAAGAGAAAUUCAAAAAAAAAUUUCAUCCAGAAAUUUUAAUUUACACGAACUAGAUAUAUUUGGACUGGACUGGAAAGUUAGUUCAACUCCUUCUGGUUUUUCAUUACUUCAUGAGUGAAAAUUAUUUGGCGAAUGUAGACCAAAAGAAUUCUCUAGAGCUGUGGAACUUAUUAUGACUAUAACAAAAAGUAAAUGCAUUAAUGAUGAUUGAUUAUGAAUAGAUCUACGAUUGUAUUGUACAUUUAUUGGUAAAGUUUAUGUUGAUACUGAAAUGUGGUCGCCUUUUGACCGACCAGAUUGGUUCAUCAACGCUUGUAUUGACAAAGGAACAGAGGCUGCAAUCUAUCAGCUUCAGCAAUUUCCCGAGCUCUUGGGACUCAAAUCACCCUUCUUAUUCCUUCCAGACAUGCGUUCACAAAAACAAAUCAGAGACGCCAGUGGUUUUUCCGGCGUAAACCCUCUGAUACUUAAGUUAGUACAAGAUGUUUACGGAGAAACUGUAUGAUUUGUGUUGUACAGAUUAGUUACAAUAUUCUCAAUACGAAAUGUAUCAAGGAUUCAGAUAUAAGAAUUUCUAAUAUUAAUUUGGCAGAGUUUCCCCUCUUCCUCUAUUUUUGUGUCCCAUUUUUGAUCGAUUUCUUGGCCUUUUAUAGGCAUUCAUCCCACGUUUUCUGAGUAUUCUUCAUGCCCCUCAUUUUCGGGUGAUGACGGACCUUUAUGGGUCUCCAACCACCGAAUCGUGGGUAAACAUGGGGCGCCAAGCGAAACUGUCGUGAGUUCGUGAGAUCGUGUCCUUUUUCUCUGAGUGAUGAGUAUCUGGUCGGUACUCGUUUCCAGUCGGUAUGCUCAUACAAGAUGUAUUACUAAGAAUCUGCUCGUGUCAGUCAGCUGAGGAGAUUCACCCCAUGGUGAGGGACGAGGAGAUAGCUGAGCUGGUACUUUUCAUUACUCAAUAUCAGUCCCCCAAUUUCUAGUCUUGCGAGUGAAACAAGUUGAGACUAGAAAUUAAGAAUUGAAUCUGGCCACCCUCGGGUAGCAUCCUCCUGGUCUUUGUUUUAUUGUGAUGUACCUGAGGUGAUGUUUUCUGCUUAGAGAGUUUUUGACCUAGGUAUGGGCAUUCGUGAGCGUAUCCAUUACGCAGCUGGGUUGACAUCCCAUCAUGUCGUCUUAAUGGCCAAUGACGUGGCACUUUCUGCCUUCUAUAUUUGAAAUUUGAAACGACGGCUUAUCUAUCCUUGAUACACGGUGAUUGAACUGACACCCGCGUAACUUAAACGCCUCUGUUCCCUCUUUCGUCUUAAAUCCCUAAUUUGAGAGUUUUAUUGCGUUUCGUUUUCUGUCAUUUUUCCAUAAGCCAACUCCUUUUGACUCAAAACGUGCUUUCUACGCCGAAGACUUCCUUUUGUCUGGCCCUUUCUCCGUCACAGCAACGCCACUAGUGCUGAUCUAUUCCAGGUAUCGCUUUUAAUUCCUUCUCUGGUUGUUGUUGCUUGGGUUAUGUAUUGUUCUUUUGCACCAAUAUACUUGGAUUUGUUGUAUUUUUCCUUUUAAGAUUUCACUAUGUCAAGACGAAGGGGAAAAUUAAUUGUAGAUGACAGUGAUGAAGAGAUAGAUUCAUACCCCCAACUUGUUAAGACCCACUGACCCCCAACACCCUUCUAGCAGCAUAGGUCCCUCCUAUAAUAAGGAUACCCUUGAGUACCCUCGUUCAGAGACCAUUUCGCCUUCUUCUGACUAUGAACCUAUGAGGAACCGUGGUGGACAAGCAUCGAGUUCUGGUGAGAACCACGGUUAUGAGGGGGUUAAGGUUUCUGAGGAAGAAAGUGAUGAGGAGGAGAGUAGUUCCGAGCCAAGCAGACCCUCUAAGAAAAGAAACCUCGGUAAUAGGAUUGAGGCAGAUGCUUACCCCAUCGACUACCUUACAUGUGCUACUACCCAUACUGACUUGCUCAAGCUAAGAAAACUCUAUAAUAUCCUUGAGGAUGUCCUCCUCGCUAUCCCCGGGAAAGGUGAUGUUCCCAAUCGACCUCCUAAGGGGUAUGUGACUCUGCAUCUGGAGAGAUUCAAGCUAGGGGCUCGGUUGCCCCUUCAACCUUAUUUUGUCAAGAUACUGGGUGGCAUCCAUCUGGCUCCUAGUCAGUUACACCCAAACGGGUGGAGGGUUCUUUCGGCCCUGUUUGUGUUGUGGGAAAUGUGUGAGCUCGGGGAGCCUUCCCUCGUGGAAGUAAAACAUUUGCAUCAGCUAAGGAGCAGUCCUAAAGAGGCAGGUUGAUAUUACUUUAUGUCGAGCCCUGCAAAGAGGAAACCAGCCGUCGGCUGUCCUUCCUCGUGUAAAAAUUGGAAGAACAAAUUCUUCUUUGCUGGAGGAAAUUGGUGCCCAGUGAUCCAUUCGCUUGGUGGUGAUAUUCACCUUCCAACGCAUUUUGUCACCCCAGGUCGUUUAUUUUUCUUUAUGCUUCUCGUCCCUGGUCGUUACUUAUUUGUUUCUUUAACCUUGUCUAUGUUUUCAGAUUUGUGGGGCCUUAUUAGCAAACUUGACGAAGACCCACUACUCAAGGUUGAAACCGCUCUGGUGAAUGCCUCCCAUUGUCAGGAUCUCCUGUCACCGAAAAAUCUCCUCAGAUCUGGUCUUGUAGACAUUGUUGCUGGGAUGGAUAAUAAGAUCCUUAGUGUCAUGUCAAGGAAAUGUGCUCGGAGGUCAGGUGAUUCCAGCAGCGCUCCUGCUCCUCAGAAGAAAAGUAAUAUCAGCACUUCCAAAGCUCUUAUUCCUGCUCUGCCCCCUCAUCCGCCUCGAAAGAAUAGCGGAGAGGAGCUUCGUGACAAGAGCCCUGAGGUCAACACUCAAUUCGGAGAUCGGGCCUCGCCGCUUUCGCCUCGGGACCAAGGCGACUAUUUGACCCCGUAUCAGAAGGAUUACGCCAAAUCGAUUGGGCCCAAAAUGGUCAAAGACAUUGAGAGUAUGAGUCUUGGCGAGCUGGCUGGCUUUGUCUAGAGGGUCUUUUUUAAGCUUGCCACUCUGGUUUCCUACUACAAGAACAGGUUUAUGCGCCAUGAGAGGAAGCUUCAAGCGAAGAAUCAGGACAUGAAGAAAAAGGCUGAAUCCGCUGAUCGGUCGAAGGAAAAGAUGCUCGAUCUGCAUAGGUAGGUUCUGGACCUAGAGGAGAAGGUUGUUGCUGCUGAGUCCAAGUCUUCUCAGCUCGAGAGCGAGUUUGGUGACUUGAAGUUUGAUCUCGAGGCUACACAAAGCGAGCGAGACACUUUGAGGACGACCUACGAGAAGCAAGUCAAGUCCUUGAAUGAGCAGAUAGCCGAGCUCAGGGGUAAAUCUGCUGAGGUGGACGACCGACUUGGUGCAGAGUAUGAUUCUAGGCUCGCCUUUUGCUAUAAAUGCAUCAUGUUCGUACUUAAAGAGGAAUAUCCGGAGCUGAACAUGAGCAAGCUGGAGACAUGUGUGCAGAAGUAUAUGGCUGAGCAGGGCCAGGGGGAUAAGGGCCCGGGGGACCAAGAUCAACGCAAGGCUCCUUCAAGUGGGGCGUAGGAGAAGGAGGCAGGAAACCCAUCUCUGGGUGCAGGUCAUGAGUCAACACUUGCUCCUCCGAAAGUUGCUGGUCCCUCUCUGUCUGAGAUUGCAGAUCCUUCUUCCGCUGAAGCUGCCGAGCCUCAUAAUCUAUGAAUUUUGCUCUUCAUGUAAAUCAUAAAUUUUCUUUUUUGUUUAUGACUAUCAAAACUUUAAUAAACUUGUAGCAUUUUUCUCAUUGUUUUUUGUUAAACUUUUCUUUGUGGAUUACCUUGGAAAGCAAUUUUGGAAACUAUGUUUGCUUGUCCUUAGGCUAUUUUGUGCUUUAGAAAACGUAGUAGACAUUGCCUGCUCGUCCCUAAGUGACGGAGUUGGGAUAGACAUAUAUUUGCCUUAACGAAUUUUAUAGGAUUUGUCUGCUAGUCCUUUAGGCGACCGAGCAGGAGUUGGCACUCUUUUGCCUUAGCGAAUUUUGUAAAAUACGCAUGCUGGUCCUUUAGGCGACCGAACAGGAGUAGGCACUCUUUUAUCUUAGCGAAUUUCGUAGUUUGCCUGCUGGUCCUUUAGACGACCGAGCAGGAAUAGGCAUAUAUUUGCCUUAGUAAAAUUUGUUCUAACAAGAUAGUUAUGAGUUGAAUUUAUCUCUAUUGAUUUUUUUGUGGAUUACAAUAGGCGAAAUACAUGCAUGUGCCACAAUUCCAUGAUACAUCUAGUAGAAAUAUUUUAAUGAAAGGAAACCUUAUAAAAUAUUUUGCUUACUAGAAAUAUUUCUUCAAGUGUUCAGCGUUCCAUGACCUCUUUACUUCUCGUCCAUCUGGGUAGACCAGCUUAUAGGCUCCUGGGCUAGUUGUUCGCACUACCCUGUACGGGCCUUCCCAGUUCAGACCAAGGACGCCCUGGUUAGGAUCUCUCGUGUUCUGGUUCACCUUUCUAAGCACCCAAUCCCUGGCUCGGAAUUACCUUACGCGUACAUUUUGGUUGUAGUAGCGCAUGACCCUUUGCUGACACUGAGCUACCUUCUGCGAUGCUUCUUCUUUUUUCUCCUCUAGUAGAUCUAGGCUUCUACACAUCUGCUCGUCAUUCUGUUCCUUGUUGAAAUACUCUGCCUGAUGCGUUCCCACUCAAUUUCCGCUGGGAUUACUGCCUCAUGACCUAAAGUUAAAGCAAACGGGGUUUCCUCCGUGGCGGUUUUGUGGAUUGUCCGGUAGGCCAAUAACACUCCUGGUAAUUUGUCGACCCAAGCUCCUUUCUUCUCUCCCAGCCUGAUUUUCAAGAGCUUCUUUAUAACUUUUUUAAAUCACGGCACUAGCCGAUAGUGUGACCAUGAGUGUCGUGGAACUUGCAGAACCUGCCUUUAUCCCGCUUGUGAGCUGGUUUAGUUACAGGAGCUGGGGGAUACAACAGGCCUCGUCCUUCAAUCCUAUCAUACAAUUCUUUCAUAGAAACUUUCAACGGGGUGUACUGCUUAUAUGCCAAGCUUUGGUCAAUCAGUUGGACUGCUCGGCCGUCAUGAAAAUCAUCUCGGGUUGGUACUGGGGGUGGCUGGUUUGUUCGGCCCGCCCUGAGGUUAACUGCAUUCAACACCCUAGGAGCGUUAUGAUAGGGAUGGGCAGCCAUCUGCCGGAAUUCUCGCUGCCACUCUUGGAACGGGGGGCGCUGGGGCUGAGCUCGGUUAUGUUGGAACUGUUGUGGUCUUUGAGUUAUUGGGUAGGGGCGGGGGCCGAGUUGAUGCUCCCCCCAUUGUUAAUGGUUCCCCAGCUCGUUUUCCCAACCCGCUCCCAGUCGAUAUCCUCUUCUUUUUUCGCCUCAGCUCCACCAAUUGUUCACUCUUUAUCAUCGAUGUUUUCUCCUCCUCAAUUUCUAUAUCUCUCUUCGCCUGCUCAUACCCCGUUAAAUAACUCUGAAUGAUGAGAUUCCUCAUAUUGUACCACAAUCGGCCUAUCCUCACUCCUUCUUUUAACCCUUUCAGCGCUUGUGGGUGAUUGAAAGCCCCCAAAUCAAGCACGGUCUGAUGAUAUCUCUUCACGAAAUCCAGAAGAGAUUCGUGCUCCUCUUGCUUCAUUCCCAUCAACUCUAUCAUAUCAUCCUCCGAGGUUACCGCUCCGCGAAACUGCUCGGUCAACUCUUAGCAUAUCUGCUCAUACCCCCUUAUACUUCCGCGUAGCAACUUACGGUACCACUCUCUGGCUCGCUCCUCCAAUGUCAAUGGGAACACUCUACACCUCUGAGCUGGUGUUAACCCUUGUACACCUGUCAUGUCGUUGAAACGUUCAAUAUGCACCAGUGGGUCGCUUCUCCCGGAGUACUUGAGGUUAGGAAAGCGAAAUCCCUCGGGAUCACAGUUCCUAUGAUUUCGGCUGAUAGGGGAGACUCAUCAUCCAACAUUAUCCUUUAGCUCGGUGGCUUUCUCUUACCCUACAUCUCAUCUAUCACCUGCGCCAACCGUCGCACCUCUCCCUCCAAUUCCAAAGCCCGAUCAGGAUAACGUGCAGCUACCUGGUCACGCUCCUGCUCAACGCUAUGCAGCCGCUGUCUGAGCUCACUUUCCUUAGCAUUUGUUCCUCGGCUAUCAAUUCCUAAAACCCGCCCAAAGCAAGAUUGGUCUCUCCCUUCAUCCACGUGCUCUUCUAGGAUCCGACUUGCACUUCUAUGGGGAUGCACCCCAUGAGGUUGCUCCCCCAACGGAGGAAUCUCCUCGAGUCUACGCCUCCGAUGGCUGGAUUCUGCAAUGGCUUCAUCUCUCACCGCGGUGGUCUCAUAAUCCCUUCUCCGCUCAUCCCUCAACUCAUGCAAUAUGAUUGUGAGAGUCUCCAUUUGCUUUUCCAUCCGUUCCAUUCGCUCUUGCAUCAUUCUCUCUCUAGCCUCAUUUGCUAUCUCUUGGAGAGUGAUCAUCUCGCCCGUUUCAUUGUCGCCCCCUAGGGCAUCAUUCCUUAUCACAUCCAUAUCCGAUCGUUUGCUGCUCCUCUGAUGAUUACUAACUUGGUGGUAGCUUUUUAUCCAGCUCCCUACAAACGGUGCCAAAAUGUUGAUGCUGAAAUCUGGUCGCCUUUUGACCGACUAGAUUGGUUCACCAACACUUGUAUUGACAAAGAAACAGAGGCUGCAAUACACCAGCUUCAGCAAUUUCCCGAUCUCUUGGGACCCAAAUCACCAUUUUUCUUCCUUCCAGGCCCCCGUUCACAGAAACAAAACAGAGACGCCGGUGGUUUUUCUGGCGUAAACCUUCCGAUACUUAAGUUAGUACAAGGUGUUUACGGGAAAACUGUAUGAUUUGUGUUGUACAGAUUAGUUGCAAUAUUCUCAAUGCGAAAUGUAUCAAGGAUUUAGAUAUAAGAAUUUUUUAUAUUAAUUUGGCAGAGUUUCUCCUCUUUCUCUAUUUUUGUGUCACAUUUUUCAUCGAUUUCUUGGCCUUUUAUAGGCAUUCAUCUCACGUUUUCUGAGUAUUUUUCAUGCCCCUUAUUUUCGGGUGAUGACGGACCUUCAUGGGUCUCCAACCACCGAAUCGUGGAUAAACGUGGGGUGUCAUGUUCUCCUCAGCGAUUUGGGGCAUGACGAAACUGUCAUGAGUUCGUGAGAUCGUGUCCUCUUUCUCUGAGUGAUGAGUACCUGAUCGAUAUGUACCUCUGGUCGGUACUCAUUUCCAGUCGACAUGCUCAUACAAGAUGUAUUACUGGGAAUAUGCUCGUGUCAGUCAGUUGGAAAAAUUCGCCCCAGGGUGAGGGACGAGGAGAUAGCUGAGUUGGUACUUUUCAUUACUCAACAGUUUAAUCUUUUGAUACAGAGAUUAAUUUGAUGAAUCAUCGACCAUCCUCCACCAUACAAACAUUUUAUGAUGUCAUUUAUCUUACACUUUCGUUACCUUUUUAAUGCUUCGGUAGAAUCGGUACGCUUUUAAUAAAUGUUGAAAAAGUUUAUUUAUUUAUUAUUUUUAAAAAAGGUUAAGGAAACUUGCAGCUUGAUGACUUGAUUAAGACAUAUCGUUUGUUUGACCACCUUUUGUUAUCAAAGAUAGUACUUGCUUAAAAAUCUGUGUAUAUAUAGCAGGACAUUGAUAGCUUUAAUGUUUGUGCUUGUUUUAAUUAAUUAAAAUUUUCCACUUUGAUUUGAUUAGAAAUAGAACAAAAGAAUUAAAAAAAAUACUGAUAUAGUGAUAUUCUAGCAAAAUAAUAACGCUCCAGGAAGUUCAACCUGAGUGAUGGAAAUUUUAAUCCAGGCUGUAAGUCAGGGAUCUCGCUAUCCUGCAGGUAUGAUUACAUAUCAUUUUCAAGAAUUGCAGGGGUAUGUGGAUAUCGCAAGAAGUUGGUAUGAGGGCCUGAUUAAGUUUAUUGCUAGGACCAAGAAAAGUGUUGAUUCUAAGGUUGCUGCUAAUGGUUUCAGGUACAAGUUGUGCGGAGUUUUCAAUUGUUAAUGUGUUUUUGUUUAAGAUUCUGUGGCUCUCUGCUUAAGUUGUGUUGUGUGGCUCUCUGCUUAAGUUGUGUUGUAUGUCUCAGGCUGACAUGUUGUCUCUGUAUUUGUCAACCUAACCCAAUUGAUUUCAAUAUUUCACAAAAUUGGGAUUUCGAUUGACUUGCCAACCUCUUUUUAUUUGGGCUGGUAUAAUUGUUAUGAGGUGAAUAUGAAAAUGUUGGGACUAUUAACUCUUGGUGUUGCUUAUAGCUUGAAAGCAUACAUUCUAUACUUAGAUUCUCAUUGACUCAAACUUUUAUUCCCUAUAAAAUAGUUUGGAAAUGGAAACUUAUUGAAAACUAUUUCUCAAUUGAAAAUUUUAGUCUUAGCUUGUGACUGAUAAGUGCAUAUUUUUCAUAUAUUUUGCUAUUAAUUUCUCCAUCCUCUUCUUGUUUUGGUCUUAAAUAUUCUAGUUAUUUUAGUUAAUUUUUAAUUUAGUAAAUUAUAUUUUAUUAUGUUAAUUUUAUGUUAAUUUUUAUAUUUUAUGUUAAUUUUUAUAUUUUAUUAUUUUAGGUGCAUUUUGGGAAUAAAGAGGAAUUAAAUCAGAAUAUUCAAGUAAGGAGAGCUUAAAGAAGAAACUAAUUGGAAAUUUAAAGAAAGUGAUGGGAGUUAAAAUGGAAGAAAAUCAAAGCAGCCAAGGCCUAAUUGAAGUUCACGUGAAGAUGAGAAGAAUUAGCAUUGGAAAUAAUUUAAUUAAUAAGGCAAACACAUUCUUGUGAUGGGCUUUGGCCAAAUUGUUAUUGGCUUAUUAAUUAAAUAAGUCACGUGCAUGGCAUUGAAUUAUGGAAAGCAAAGUGAAACAAAAAGGGAAAAUGGCCUUGCACGUGAAUUCAAAAGAAAAGUGGCGGCUUGACUUUUGUUUUUAAUCCUUUUCAUGUGAGGAUUUAGGGCACAAUAUAAAAGCGAGUUUUGCUUUUGAAUAAAAGGGAAGAGGGCAGACGCAAUUCGGGCAGAGGAAAAUCAGCAGCCGCAAGGAGAAGAAAAAAAUCAGCAGCUGGAAUUAAGUUAAAGCAAAGGCAGCCGCUUGAAUUAAUCUCCAUGAUUGGCUUUGUCAAUUCUCUUAUUCCCAAUUCAAUUAUGUUAGGCUAAAUUUUUAUUUGGUUGAGGGUGAAUUCAAAACCCUAAACAUGCUAUGCAAUUAAAUUUAAAUUCUAUCAUUCAAUUUAUUUAAUUGAGAUUGUUUAUAUUCUUCUAUAAAUUGUGUUCAUGGUUUAUUCUUGUUUUAUUUGAGUGGCCAAUUAGAUAGGACUUGAAUAAAUUCUAUUGCUAGAUUAAAAUUCUUGAUCCGUAAUUGUCUUGAUAUUUUAAUCAUUAGUAGCAGGUUGGAAUCAAUGAUUUCAAUUGGAGAACAUAACCUAGGUUAAAUAAUCCGAGCUUGUGUGUUUAUUGCCUAGAUCAACCUAAUAUAUUUCUUUGUUUAAUGCUUCAAUUAUCUUAAAUUUAAAGAGCUUGUUUUAAAUUAUUUAAUAGUUAGAGAUUAGGUGAAGAGCUUAUUUUGCCUAACGACACACUAAGGAAAGAUUGAGACUAACAGAGCUUAUUGUUGUCUACGGUUGAUAGUUUCAAUAUAAAUUGAUGAUAGAAUUAAUAUAUUAUGUGCAUGUUUGGUGGUGGCGAAUGAUCCUUUAACCAAAGUUUUCAUCAUCAUUAUUUCUUUUUCCUUUAACUAGAGUUUUUAUUAAAUUCUUGUUCGUAGUUUUAAUUUCUUUACUUCUUACUAUUUAGUUAAAAAUUCAUAAACCCCCUUUUUAUUUAUAAUUGGCAUUUUCUUUAGUUAGAUUAAUUUAUAUUAUUACUACUAUUAUUAUUACUACUAUUAUUUUAUUUUAAAUCUUGCUUUAGAGUUGAUAAUAAAUAUAACUACAUAGUUUUUGUGGGAUCGAUCCUUACUCGCUUUGUACUAAUUAUUUAUAUUAGUGGUAAGGUUUUAAAUUUGGUGUACCUUAACGACACUAUCAGUGACCUUUUAACCUUUUAUGUGAUUUGUGUGCUUGCUGGUUAAUUUGAUCUGAAAGGUUGCUACUAUGUUGAGGAGUUGUUUACUUGCUUGGUUGAUUGAGUUGUUAGGUUAAUUAAUUAGUUAUCACGUUUUGCUUUUUGCAAACAACCAUUUUUUGCUUUUUAAAUUUUGACAUUAAAGGAGUAACGAGAUAUUAUGAAAACUGAAGGGACUAGGUAAGUGGUAAAAACUCUAAAUUGCAAGAGAACACUGCUACUCUCCCAUCAGGGUUAGUAAUAUUAAUUAAUCAACAAAGUCCAAACUGUAAAGGGCAAAGUGUUAAUCUCUUGUCAAGGUUAGUGAUAUUUACAGUUCGAUGGUAAGGGUAGGCAAGUGAUAAUACAAGCUUAUGCUUAUUAUAAAGUUUCCAUUUUUAAGGGACUUUAGUUGUUCUCUCUUGUCUCAAAUUUGUUUCUUCCCUAAAAAUAUAUACAGUUCGAUGGUGAGGGUAGCUCUAGCUAUGUACGAAAUCAUUGAUUAAUAAUCAUAUAAAUAAAUUAUUUUGGUAACUCCAUGGAUUAAUGAAUUGGGUACUAUUCCUUUUGAGAAGGCAUGCUAAUUGAUUCUCGAUCAUUGACUUCAAAAGUUGAAGAGACAGGUUGAAAAUUGAUUUUAGUACUGGUAGAAAAAGAUGGUAGUGCUCGAUUAAUUUUUGCGAUUCACUGAAGAUGUGAGUUUGAGUCCCACACAGAAGCUCAUCUCAUGCUCUUAUCCCAAAAAUGUGGAUUAGGGGAAGAUUUGUUGCUAAUUAUUUGCAUUGUAUGUAUCAAGUCCUAUCACAUAUUAGAUUGUAAUGUCAGAACGAGUUUAUAAUGUUGCAUUGUUGCUCAACAUCAUAUGUGCUUAAUAAGCUAUAUCUUUAUUUGAUUUAACCAUUUGAUCUGCUUCUGAAGCUCAUACUUGAAAGUGACAAAUCAAGAUUUCAGUAGUACACAUUUCAAGAGUCUCAAAUAUUACCACACUGCAUUCUCUUAUUAUUCCAACCAAACAAAAUGUAUCAAACUGAAAGACAGACGACCAAGAUGGAGAAUCACUUAAUAGAACAUCCUUAACAUUGAAUUAUUGAAAGCAAGCUGAGAAGUUUGCCGGGGACAGCCUUAAGUGUGUGAUGGCAUGGUCCAGUUGUCGAGGUUGAGCUGGGUGAUGUGUAUUUCCUGAGGAAGAAGAUGAUACUUGAUGCCCAGAUUCUCGAAAAUCUUUUUGAGCUCGAGAAUAAGCUCUGAUAUCCUGAUACUCCUCUCUCCAUAGUUCUGGUGAUUGAUUGUAUGUUGCACAGACAGGCACAUUUUCAACUUGUUUAGCUCAGCUAUCUCUUUCACUAUCACCGAAUGCUUAGGGUUCCAGUAGUUGGGUUUGCUCUCGACAUACCUGCAUUUAUUGAUAAAUAACGCACGCAUGCAUCAGGAACAUCUAAAUGUUAUUGAAUAAUCAAAGGGAACACGACAGUUCUUUCUAUGUAGUUUUUGAUUUUACCCCUAGUAGCUUUUAUAGUACUCCGAUGCAUCUCUGACGUCAAAACUUUAACAGAAAAAUUUAAUUUAGCUACAGACAAAUUAACCAUAUAUUUUUGUUAAUUCAAAUUUUGACCUUCAAAAGAGUAACGAAGUACAUAUUACGAUUUAUGAAGGGUGUAGGAGCUGGGUAACUUGUAAAACUAAAAAACUGUAAGUGGAAAAUGUCAGUUUGCUAACGAAGGUUAGUAAUAUAAAUUAACCAACUUACACUUGUAUGGCCUUCUUAAGAGCAAUGAUGGUCUCCAUUGAUGUGGACAUAUCAAUGGUGAAGUUAACAUUAUCACUCAUCUCUGGACUUCUGUAAAAAUUGCUUAUUGGUUUUGUGAGCAAAACUGCAUUCGGAUAGUAAAUUUUCUCCAUAUCAUACCGAAGAAACACUGUUGUUAAUAUAUUCAUUUCUUCAACAACCAUCUACAUAUAUAUUCACAAUAAAUGCAUCAAGUUAAGAUUUAAGAUAAAAGAGAAAUUAAAUAACUAUUUAUUUAAGAGCACUGAUAUUUGAGUACCAAGACAAUACCAGGGCGACAGAAAUAGUGUUACUAAUCAUUGUUCGUUUGUUCAUUGAACAGUAACACUGUAGCAUACCAAAAUGAUACUGGGCAUGCAAAGUGUUAUCAUUUCUGUCAUCCUGAUUGGUGUCUUUCGGUGUUCAAAUAUCAAUUUUCUUUAAUUAAUUACCUGGACACCAUCAAUGACACAACGAUCUCCAAUGUCAAAAGGGUGCAUGACGAAGAUGAAGACAAUGGAUUCAAAAACCAUCUUGCAAGUGUUUUGGAACAUGAACCCCACAAGAACUAGUUGUGUUAAUACGAAAAAUACAACUUUUGUUGUUGCAAGCUCCAUCACUAGGAGAGACACCACUAUUAUUACCACUACCACCACUGCACUUGCUAAUUUAUGAAGCUGCUGCACUGCUGUUUUUGUGUCAUUCAACGAAUGUGCUAAUGAUUUUCUUUCAAAAUAAGCUCGAACCUGCCCAUUAAAAAAUAGAAAUAAUUAAUUACAUGAGCAACGAUAUUCAGGUAAAAGAAUUUGUCAAAAUAUUGACAAAAGCAAGGCAAAAUGGCACCGGUUUUAACUUGUAUUUUUUUGUCUGCAAUAUGUCAGUACACUUGUCUCUUUAGCAUUUUUCAUUCUUUUAUAGGGUCUUGUUAACAUGUGUGUUAAGAAUAUAAAUUGAAGUAAUUAAAUGACAAAUUAUAAAUAUAAUAUUUAUAUAUAAUUCCCUGGGUCAAUGUGUGGUUAAUAAAUAUCAUAAUUAGAAAACAAAAAAUGUAAUACAUACCACCCAAUUUCUGAAUGAAGAUUUUGUAAUCCUUCCGGUCUCAAGGGCUCCUUCAAAGAGAGGAAAUAUUGUAUGAACCUCAACCCUCUUCAAGAAUCUCAUUAGAUCUUCCUCUUCAAUAAACCUUCAAUAAUUGACGGGAAAAAAAAGAAAGAAAGAGUGAAAGAAUAUAUAAAUUCCUUUAUACUAUAUAUAAUAAAACCUCUUUAUAGUGAUUUUCUAUAUAGAAAUAACCUUCAAAGUCAUAAAAAGUUCUAAUCCAGUUUGUGCUAAUUAUACAUAAGAAUAAACCCUACAUUAUAAUAAGUUAUAAUUUUUUUAGAUUUUAUCUUAAAGAACUUAUCUGCACAAAAUAAUAAUUAUCUAGAUAUUCAAAAACAUAUGCUACGUUUCUUAAAGGUUUAAGAUUGAACAAAGCAUUCUUUCUAAAGUUGUUUGAGACAAUGAUUUAUACAACGUACAGUAUUAAUGAGUUUUAUAUUGAAAAAAAAAUAUUAAAGAGAAUGCAAAAAUUUAGACUUUUAAAAUGAUUUUUCUAUUCGCAACACUACAAAAAUACAUGUACUAGGUUUUUAAAAUUAUGUCUCUCUUUUAUCAUUUUUUAUAUAUUAGAUUUGACACAUUCCUUUAAUUAAUUAUUAAUAUAGUACAUACUCUAAUUCUAUAACACUUGCACUAAGAAUAACUAAGUCAAAACAUUAAUUUUCAUAACUACAUCUUUAUUAAUUUAUAACCUCCUCAUAGAAAUAAAAUUAGUUUGGAUCUAACAAUAUAACUAGAGAGAGAUUUUACGUUAUAAAAUUGAGAUGUAAAUGAAGUACUUAACUAAUGUUGCAUUUAUUGAUUAAUUUAUAUGUAGCUAAUGUUUAAUUAGUACUAAAAGUAUUUCACUAUUUAAACGCUAGUUAGUGAAAGAGUAUACCAUACUAUAUAUAUAUUUGGCUUCUCGUACGCUUGGACUUAGAUUUUAUAUUCAUCUAAUGACCUUGUGCUAAAUAGCAAACUAUAAUUAAUAGUUAUUAGAUAAGAGUGUGAACCGUAAUCAAAUUUUCAUUAAUUAUAUGUGGUUAUAAAUAAAUAUGUAAUAUAAAAUCUUCAAAAGUUUACAUCAUCAUCAUCAUCAACAUCACCAUCAUCAUUAUUAUUAUUAUUUUGUAUCUUUCUUUUAAAAGGGAGAGGGGUGAGAAAAGUCUAAAUCAAUUUUUAAUUCUUAUAUCCUAAAAUUCAAACUCACAUAGUCAACUAGAUAAAAUUGUUAGAAAAUCGCUCAACUAAAGUUCUUGGAAGCAAAAGCUUACGUAAUUAUUCAUACACGUUUGACAUAAUUAAAAUCAUUAAAACCUCCAACAACUCUUGUCAACAAAGAUUUAAAUAUUAUUUUUUCUUUUUCGAGGAGAAGAUUUAAAUAUCCUUAAUACCUCAUAAUAGUUGAAUUUUCUUUUCUGACGAAUGCAUGACCAGUGAAUGCAAUAGAACCAUUUAAAGUUGGUAGAACAAUUCCAUACAAAAAUAGGCUAAGUGAUUACUUGGACCACCACCAAUAUCCUCGUCAUGCAUUUUGUUUGGACCUUAUCUGAAGAUUGGUUAAAUGUUUGUAUGCACCAUCUAUGAUCUAUCCAAUUGGACCACACAAGACCUUUCCAAGAAUUACUCGAGCACUCUGACAGUGCACGAGCGGCCACCAGCUAGGUAGCACUAGUGUUGCUCCCACUAAGCUCUCAUCAGUGGAUCAAGACAUCCACUCAGUUGUGCUCAAUUUUCUAUUAAAUAGGAAAGGCACGUUUCAAAUUCAAUAUAUUAUCAUAUUAAAAAAAUAUUUAUUUAAUCUCAAUAUUUAGAGUUAAGUUUUUAUAUUUUAAAAAAUAUCUCAAGAUAUUACUGCUGUUAAAUAUAUUAUAUUCAUACCUUUACUUUUUCUGUCAAUAUUCUUACCUUUUUGAGCAUAUUUACGAAAAGAAAAAAAUGUUAAUUUAUCAAAUUAGCAUUAAAAGUAAUAUAAAAUUUGUCACAAAUUUUUAUGUUAUUAUUUUAUUUUUAGGAUUAAUUUAGUAAAUUAUUUUUUUAAUAAAAUAACUAUCAGUAAAAUUAUUGUAAGGAUAUUGAACAUUACUUUAAGUUGGCUGAUAUUACUUUAUCUGUAAAUGAAUUAUUAGUAAAAUUGUUGCAUGGAUACAAAAAAAAUAUACUAAUUCUUUUAUACUAAUAUUUAUUGGUUAAUUUGUUAAUAAAUAAUUAUUUAUUAAUUUGUUGAUUAAAGUUUUUUAGAUAAUUAAUGUAAGAAUAUUAUUGUCAGAGUAUUAUUGUACAAGUAAAGAAAAAGGAAAGGCAAGAAUGUCACAUGUCUAGCUAAAAUGGUACUUUGAGAUAUUUUUCAAAAUAUGAAGACAAAAUGAAUACUUAACUUAAAAUAUAAGGACUAAAUAAAUGUUUGCCUUAUUAUAUUAUGAUUUGUUAAUAAAAACACAACCCCUAUUUUUUUUUAAAGCAUUUUUUUAUUUUCUGACAGUCGUCAGCUUAUGGUAUAUGCACAUGCAUCUGCCAGUAUACGUGCACAUAUGCAUGCGCUGUGGAGUAAUAUUUCCAAAGAUCAAAUUCAAUAUGUUAUGAUAAACGAAAGUAGAACCCUAAAUUUUGAGAAAUUAUUUUUUUUAAUAGUCACUAGUUUAUAUGCAUGUGCAAGUAUAUAUACGUGUAUAUACGUGCAUAUAUAAUUUUUUUUUUUUUUUUUUGUAUAAACCGAUACGACAUAACAACACUGGUUAUAUAUGCACAAGUAAGGGGAAUAGAGAAUCGAAUAACGUACUUCGCACCGAGUUUGGCUACGUUCUUAAAGAUCCUUUGAGCAGAGUUUGUAGCUUCCCAUUCACUUGUAAUCUCUGAUUCCGCAUUUCCAAAAUAAUCAACAGUCUUAGAAAUAGUUGACAACCCCGAAGACUUAAUGUAGCUCACCAGUCUCUUCAUGCUCCAAGCUGAUGCUGUCCUCUCCAUGCUCAGCUUCCUCAGCUUCUCCAUGUCAAUUUUCCUCGACCCAAACCUCUUCGAUUUGUAAACAUUCCUCGCGUCCUUCCACUUUCCCUCCUUCCAAUUUGAUGGCAAUGACAUAGAUCCACUCAGGUUAUGGUUAGGGUUUUGUUUUUCUUCAUCAUUCGCCAUUGAUCCCUCCAUUAUUGGUGGACCUGAUAGAGUUUCCAAAAUGUAGUGAUGGAACACACUCUCCUUCAUUCUAUCAAAGUAUGUGGUUACAUGAAAAGAUGAGGCCAACACUUUGACUAACACAAUCUUGAUUAGCCAAAUUGUUGCACCAAGUAACACAGCCACCAAUGCUUGAAACACCUUCUCAAGUAUCUUGUUUUUCUUGUGAAGUUUCUCGUUGAAGAUGCAAGUCCAUGCAAGAAGCACAAGACCCAACCAUAUGCAAUUUCUGAUGCUGUUUCUAAGGCCAUAAACAAAAUAGAGUACCUUUUCUCUAAGCAUGAAAUUGCGUUCGAUUAAGAAGACGGCAAAACCCAUCACCCAAGCUGAAACUAAGCGGCCACAAAAGUUUACCAUUACCAUUAAGCACCAUUUCCAAAUCUCAAGGCCCCAUUUCCGUUCAAUCUUGAUAGAUUUUAUUGUCAGCGAACAUAUCAAACCAAUCAUG
This 19674-nucleotide long non-coding RNA is filed under the name Citrus sinensis (sweet orange). RNAcentral's name for it is "long non-coding RNA (CSIN_LNC001195)". The record is from RNAcentral. Lineage: Eukaryota; Viridiplantae; Streptophyta; Magnoliopsida; Sapindales; Rutaceae.